This 446-nucleotide ribosomal RNA is filed under the name uncultured bacterium. RNAcentral describes it as "partial 16S ribosomal RNA". It matches the Rfam family "Bacterial small subunit ribosomal RNA", at positions 338 to 795 of the family's 1533-position model. The record is from RNAcentral.
CCUACGGGAGGCAGCAGUAGGGAAUUUUCGGCAAUGGGGGGAACCCUGACCGAGCAACGCCGCGUGAACGAAGAAGUUAUUCGUAAUGUAAAGUUCUUUUAACAGGGAAGAAAGAGAAAUUUGACGGUACCUGAAGAAUAAGCUCCGGCUAACUACGUGCCAGCAGCCGCGGUAAUACGUAGGGAGCGAGCGUUAUCCGGAAUUAUUGGGCGUAAAGGGUGCGUAGAUGGCAUAGUAAGUCUUUUGUAAAAAUGCUGGGCUCAACCCAGUAGGGCAAAAGAUACUGCAAAGCUAGAGUAUGACAGAGGCAAGUGGAACUACAGGUGUAGCGGUAAAAUGCGUAGAUAUAUGUAAGAACACCAGUGGCGAAGGCGGCUUGCUGGGUCGAUACUGACAUUGAGGCACGAAAGCGUGGGGAGCAAACAGGAUUAGAUACCCGGGUAGUC